AUUGAACGCUGGCGGCAGGCCUAACACAUGCAAGUCGAACGGUAACAGGAAGAAGCUUGCUUCUUUGCUGACGAGUGGCGGACGGGUGAGUAAUGUCUGGGAAACUGCCUGAUGGAGGGGGAUAACUACUGGAAACGGUAGCUAAUACCGCAUAAUGUCGCAAGACCAAAGAGGGGGACCUUCGGGCCUCUUGCCAUCGGAUGUGCCCAGAUGGGAUUAGCUAGUAGGUGGGGUAACGGCUCACCUAGUCGACGAUCCCUAGCUGGUCUGAGAGGAUGACCAGCCACACUGGAGCUGCGACACGGUCCAGACUCCUACGGGAGGCAGCAGUAGGGAAUAUUGCACCAUGGGCGCAAGCCUGAUGCAGCUAUGCCGCGUGUAUGAAGAAGGCCUUCGGGUUGUAAAGUACUUUCAGCGGGGAGGAAGGGAGUAAAGUUAAUACCUUUGCUCAUUGACGUUACCCGCAGAAGAAGCACCGGCUAACUCCGUG
RNAcentral lists this ribosomal RNA (490 nucleotides) under uncultured bacterium. RNAcentral describes it as "partial 16S ribosomal RNA". It matches the Rfam family "Bacterial small subunit ribosomal RNA", at positions 30 to 507 of the family's 1533-position model. The record is from RNAcentral.